AACUCCUGGACUCAAGCAAUCCUCCUGCCUUAGCCUCCACAAGUGCUGGGAUUACAGGCAUGAGCAACUGCAUCCGGCUAAACAACCUCUCUUCUUGCAACACUGUUUCCUUGUGAGCUCAUUAACAUGCUAAUUACCACAUUCCACAGGAAGAUGGAUUACAGAGCAAUAAGACAGGCUGGGUUCACCCUGGAACGUGACCAGUAGUGACAGCCUCUAACAAUGACACAGGUACCGUUAUCGAUGCUGGGAGAAGAGAAAAGGACAUCAUUUUGCCCUCAGGGAGCUCAUGGUCUAACGGAGAGAGAGACAUGUGAACAACUACAACGUCUGCGGUCUAAGAAAACACUAAAUUGGAGACGUGUUCAAAGCAGUGCAGGGGAGGGAGCGGAGUGAGACUUCCGGGGUCACCCAGAAGGGCUUCCCGGCAGGUAAGUUGCAGCUAACCCACACAGAUGUUAAUUACAGCAAGAAAAGAUCUUUCACAGUGCUCCCUGUGCGUCAGGCAGGCUAGAGGUCUUGUCAAAAGUAUGGCAUAUGUAUCACAUGCAAAAUGAUUUGAAGUAGAAUGUGGACCAAUUUUUAAUUUUUUACUUAUGCAUCUAAAUGUGCAUUACAAAAAAAUAUAAUGAGAAAACCAAACUUUCACCAAUAUGAUUGCUCAGAGUGAGGCUAAAGGAAUGAGUUUUAAAACUGAUUUGAAUCACAAAUAGUGCUUAGAUGUGGAGAGCAUCUUAAAUGUGGCUUGCCAAUGACUGGAUUUUGGAAAGCACCGAUAUGCGCAUCUUUUUUUUUUUUUUUUUUUUUUUUUUUUUUUUUGAGAUGGAGUCUUGCUCUGUCGCCAGGCUGGAGUGCAGUGGCGUGAUACCGGCUCACUGCAAUCUCCAUCUCCUGGGUUCAAGCGAUUCCCCUGCCUCAGCCUCCCCGAGUAGCUGUGACUCCAGGCACGCACCACUAUGCCCGGCUAAUUUUUUGUAUUUUAGUAGAGACAAGGUUUCACCACGAUGGCCAGGAAAGUCUCGAUCUCCUAACCUUGUGAUCUGCCCACCUUGGCCUCCCAAAGUGCUGGGAUUACAGGCGUGAACCACCGCACCCGGCCACAUGCAUCUUAUUUUAGUGAGAUGAGAUGUAGGAGUUAGCGAGGUAGGGAAAGGGAAGAACAGUAGACACAAGGAACACCAACUCAAAGCACACAGGAGAGAGUGCACGGGCUGCCUGAGAACAGGUGGUGGUGAAGCACGGUGGGCUGCGGGGCACGCGGAGGGCUGGAGGAGUGUGCGGGAGCAGAACCCCUGCUUCUGUGUUCCACUGCCUGUGUAAACUUCUCAGGUCGGUUCCCAUGGUCAUGUCUCUCCAGGAAGUUUCUCAAUGGCACACACCAUGUUACCCUCCCUUAUGUCAAGCUUGUCCAACCCGUGGCCCAGGAUGGCUAUGAAUGCAGCCCAACACAGAUUUGUAAACUUUCUUAAAACAUUAUGAGAUUUUUUUUUUUUUAGCUCAUCAGCUAUCAUUAUUGUAUUUUACAUGGAGCCCAAGACAAUUCUUCUUCUAACACGGCCCAGGGAAGCCAAAAGAUUGGACUUCGCCACUUUAAGAUAAGCGGUUGUUGACUUUAAGACAAAAAAGGACACUUUAUAAUGACUAAAAAAAUCAAUCCAUCAGGAAUACACACCAUUAUAAACAUAAUGUACCAAACAACUGAGCACCAAAACACAUGAAGCAAAAACUGGUAACACUGAAGGGAGAAACAGACAACUUAACAAAAGUAGUUGAAGACUUCAGUGCCCAACUUUCAAUAAUGGACGGAACAGCUAGGCAGAAGAUCAGCAAGGAAACAGAAGGCUGAACAAGCUACACCUACAGACCACUGCAGAACACCCAAUCACAGAACACACAUUCUUCUGAAGAGCACAUGAAACAUUUGCCAGGAAACAUCAAAUGCUAAACCAUAAAACAAGCCUCAAUAAAAUUAAGAGGACUGAUAUCA
Molecule: long non-coding RNA, 1987 nt
Organism: Homo sapiens (human)
Lineage: Eukaryota; Metazoa; Chordata; Mammalia; Primates; Hominidae
Exons: 2
Source: RefSeq, a predicted model, not a curated record